UACGUAGGGUGCAAGCGUUGUCCGGAAUUAUUGGGCGUAAAGAGCUCGUAGGCGGCUUGUCACGUCGACUGUGAAAACCCGGGGCUCAACUCCGGGCCUGCAGUCGAUACGGGCUGACUAGAGUACGGCAGGGGAGACUGGAAUUCCUGGUGUAGCGGUGAAAUGCGCAGAUAUCGGGAAGAACACCCGUGGCGAAGGCGGCUCUCUGGGACGGUACUGACGCUGAGACGCGAAAGCGUGGGGAGCGAACAGG
This 253-nucleotide ribosomal RNA is filed under the name uncultured bacterium. RNAcentral describes it as "partial 16S ribosomal RNA". It matches the Rfam family "Bacterial small subunit ribosomal RNA", at positions 524 to 776 of the family's 1533-position model. The record is from RNAcentral.